GUGGCAGUAACAGCUGUCAAAACUGUAAGGAUAACUAUGCUGAAAAUGAACCCAGCUAAACUUGUCAAGUGCACAGUAUUCGACUGUGCUUUAUUGAUUUGUCCAGCUAAACUUUAAUUCUUGAAUAGUAUCAGGAUCAUGCUAAUGUUAAAAUGCAAAAACCUCAAGAGUUAAGACCAGAAGAUCCAGAGGAACUACAGGAAGGACAACGAGAACUUCAAGAACAGCGUGACAACAUUGACAUGGCUUCUGCUGUAAGGUUGGUUAUCUUUCUCAGGGUAGGUGAACAUCUCCUUGUUUUUGGAUGUGAUCGUCUUGAUUUAAACUCAAAAAAGAGGUUUGAGGGGUGUUUUCCAAAACUUGAUCUCAAAUCCAGAAACAAGGUUCAAAAGGUGCUUUCCACGACUUGAUCUCAAACCCAGAAAUAGGUUCUUAAGGUGGUUUCAAAGACUUGAUUUCAAACCAAAAGACAAGGUUCCAAAAGGUGCUUCCAAAGACUCGAUCUUAAAACCAAAAAACAAGGUUUAAAAGGUGCUUUUAAAAAAAUGUGUCUUGAACAAGCAAAGACGGUAUGUUAAAUGUCUGCUCUCAAAAAAGGUAUGACAAAGCACCCGUUUAAUAUCACAAAAGCACCUCAUUUGACAAAAGCACCAGCAAUCCUAAAAAAAAUCUGCCUCCACUCUUUCAACAAUGACAUAAACCCAAAAAUCAAAGCUUUUUCUCAGCAGCACCAUCACCAAAAACAAGAAGACCAUUCACAGGAACCAAAGGAGCAGAAGAAGACCUGAUGUGGACCUUGUGUGUCAACGCCAAACCUCUGAACAGGACUGGGUCUGUUUUUUCUUUAUACAUUUGACUUAAAUAUGAUCACACUCCAAAAAAAAACCCUAAUGAUAAAAUGUUUGUUUUACUCUGAAGUGACAUGAAAAUGAAAAAGCAGUAAUGUUAACUUUGAUGCGGUGGCAGUAACAGCUGUCAAAACUGUAAGGAUAACUAUGCUGAAAAUGAACCCAGCUAAACUUGUCAAGUGCACAGUAUUCGACUGUGCUUUAUUGAUUUGUCCAGGUAAACUUCUAUUCUUUCAUAGUAUUAGGAUCAUGCUAUUGUUAAAACUGCAAAAACCUCAAGAAUUAACACCAGAAGAUCUAGAGGAACUACAAGAAGGACAACGAGAACUUCAAGAACAGCAUGACAACAUUGACAUGGCUUCUGCUAUAAGGUUGGUUAUCUUUCUGAGGGUAGGUGAACAUCUCCUUGUUUUUGG
Xyrichtys novacula (pearly razorfish) is the source of this 1264-nucleotide non-coding RNA. NCBI's taxonomy places the organism in Eukaryota, Metazoa, Chordata, Actinopteri, Labriformes, Labridae. The record is from the annotation of a GenBank genome assembly.